RNAcentral lists this ribosomal RNA (253 nucleotides) under uncultured bacterium. Its description in RNAcentral is "partial 16S ribosomal RNA". It matches the Rfam family "Bacterial small subunit ribosomal RNA", at positions 524 to 776 of the family's 1533-position model. The record is from RNAcentral.
UACGUAGGGACCAAGCGUUGUUCGGAUUUACUGGGCGUAAAGGGCGCGUAGGCGGCGCGGUAAGUCACUUGUGAAAUCUCUGAGCUUAACUCAGAACGGCCAAGUGAUACUGCAGUGCUAGAGUGUGGAAGGGGCAAUCGGAAUUCUUGGUGUAGCGGUGAGAUGCGUAGAUAUCGGGAGGAACAUCUGUGGCGAAGGCGACACCCUGGACCAGCACUGACACUGAGGCACGAAAGCGUGGGGAGCAAACAGG